GUACCAACACAGCAGCAAAUCCAAUCAACCCUCCAUCUGAUUCAGCCUCGAGCAAACAAGAUAAAGUUCUGUAUGCCAGUGUAGAACGCAAGAGUGUGACUGACUCCAGGAACACUGCAGAGAGAUCUGCCUUGAAAGCUUCUGCCUCUGAGGAGGAGGAGGUUCAGUACGCUAGUGUCAGAUUUACUUGUGCCGGUGCUGACUACAGGUCUGACAGUGCAGAGGAUCCCAGUGUGAUCUACAGCAGUCUGAAAUAAACACCAUUCACCCAUGAAUCAACGUCAGCACAAUUUCCACCUGCUACACUGUUUCUGACUGUUCCUGAGAUUCUCCACCACUGAGUGACUUGCCAAGAAGAGGCCACUGUAGAACCAUGACUGCCUCCUGAGCUCUAAUGUCUGAAACUUCAGCCAGCAGUGACUGCUGAUCAUCACUGUUGAGUCAUAACCACUGCCAAAAGCCCAAGACCUAAACAUUCUGUCCUUUUUUACUCCCACAUUA
Long non-coding RNA from Clarias gariepinus (North African catfish), 501 nucleotides. RefSeq lists it as uncharacterized. Lineage: Eukaryota; Metazoa; Chordata; Actinopteri; Siluriformes; Clariidae. The record is from RefSeq and is a predicted model, not a curated record. The transcript has 3 exons.